GAUGAACGCUGGCGGCGUGCUUAACACAUGCAAGUCGAACGAUGAAGCCCAGCUUGCUGGGUGGAUUAGUGGCGAACGGGUGAGUAACACGUGAGUAACCUGCCCUUAACUCUGGGAUAAGCCUGGGAAACUGGGUCUAAUACCGGAUAGGAGCGCCUACCGCAUGGUGGGUGUUGGAAAGAUUUAUCGGUUUUGGAUGGACUCGCGGCCUAUCAGCUUGUUGGUGAGGUAUUGGCUCACCAAGGCGACGACGGGUAGCCGGCCUGAGAGGGUGACCGGCCACACUGGGACUGAGACACGGCCCAGACUCCUACGGGAGGCAGCAGUGGGGAAUAUUGCACAAUGGGCGAAAGCCUGAUGCAGCGACGCCGCGUGAGGGAUGACGGCCUUCGGGUUGUAAACCUCUUUCAGUAGGGAAGAAGCGAAAGUGACGGUACCUGCAGAAGAAGCACCGGCUAACUACGUG
This 466-nucleotide ribosomal RNA is filed under the name uncultured bacterium. RNAcentral describes it as "partial 16S ribosomal RNA". It matches the Rfam family "Bacterial small subunit ribosomal RNA", at positions 28 to 507 of the family's 1533-position model. The record is from RNAcentral.